AUUCAGGCUUUUGAAUCGCUCAAUUCUGAUGUCCGAGCUAGGAGUUAGGCCCCAAUUACGAUUUUGAGCCUAGAUGAGCAUGAAACAGACGCGAAAAAUCGGACUUCAAGGAAUUCAGAUUCUGAGCUCACGAACCCCUUAGAAAUGGUAAAAAACAAUUCAGGCUUUUGAAUCGUUCAAUUCUGAUGUCCGAGCUAGGAGUUAGGCCCAAAUUACGAUUUUAGGUCUAGAUGAGCAGGAAACAGACGCGAAAAAUCGGAGUUCAAGGAAUUCAGAUUCUGAGCUACGAACCCCUUAGAAAUGGUAAAAAAAACAAUUCAGGCUUUUGAAUCGCUCAAUUCUGAUGUUCGAGCUUUGAGUUAGGCCCAAAUUACGAUUUUAGGUCUAGAUGAGCAGGAAACAGACGCGAAAAAUCGGAGUUCAAGUAUUCAGAUUCUGAGCUAACGAACCCCAUAGAAAUGGUAAAAAAAAAAACAA
Molecule: long non-coding RNA, 477 nt
Organism: Beta vulgaris subsp. vulgaris (sugar beet)
Lineage: Eukaryota; Viridiplantae; Streptophyta; Magnoliopsida; Caryophyllales; Amaranthaceae
Exons: 2
Source: RefSeq, a predicted model, not a curated record